RNAcentral lists this ribosomal RNA (459 nucleotides) under uncultured bacterium. RNAcentral's name for it is "partial 16S ribosomal RNA". It matches the Rfam family "Bacterial small subunit ribosomal RNA", at positions 338 to 795 of the family's 1533-position model. The record is from RNAcentral.
CCUACGGGUGGCUGCAGUGAGGAAUAUUGGUCAAUGGCCGAGAGGCUGAACCAGCCAAGUCGCGUGAGGGAAGACGGCCCUACGGGUUGUAAACCUCUUUUGUCGGGGAGCAAAGCGAACCACGUGUGGUUCAUUGAGCGUACCCUCAGAAAAAGCAUCGGCUAACUCCGUGCCAGCAGCCGCGGUAAUACGGGGGAGGUGAGCGUUAUCCGGAUUUCUUGGGUUUAAAGGGUGCGCAGGCGGAGGUGCAAGUCAGCGGUCAAAUUGCGGGGCUCAACCCCGUACUGCCGUUGAAACUGCAGCCCUUGAGUGCGCGAGAAGUAGGCGGAAUGCGUGGUGUAGCGGUGAAAUGCAUAGAUAUCACGCAGAACUCCGAUUGCGAAGGCAGCAUACCGGCGCGCAACUGACGCUCAUGCACGAAAGCGUGGGUAUCGAACAGGAUUAGAUACCCGUGUAGUC